This is a non-coding RNA of Xyrichtys novacula (pearly razorfish), 7355 nucleotides long. The record is from the annotation of a GenBank genome assembly. Lineage: Eukaryota; Metazoa; Chordata; Actinopteri; Labriformes; Labridae.
CAAAAAAUGUAGUGUAAGGGACUGUUUUUUUUUGUGUGUGAUUAUUUCGGACGUCAAUAUUUUUUUUCUAACCCGUAUCCUGUCAAUACAAGCGUCCACAUCAGCGACGUUUUCCCGUCCUGUGAUAUUGCCGCAUUUAUUUUUUCGUAUCAUGUCGAUUUUGCCAAAGUUUGGCAUUCUGUGUGUCCAUUUCUGACCAAUCAGAUCUCGUGUUGUUGCGACAUCUGAUUCACCGGUAUAUCCAACAUGGCCGACCGGCUAAUUGUGUUUUUGAUAAAAGACACAAACAAACAUUAAUAUUUGAUUGUGACUUCACAAAUCUCUUUGAUUAACGUUCCCUGACAUGUAAACAUACAUUUAUCUUUGCGUUUUUUCUCUUCUUCCUCGUUCUUUUUCCUGCUCCUGAAGGAUAUGUCCUUUUUUUACCGCACAACAACCUGAGCUCUGGAUGCUCAGUGCAUAUUGAACAGCAGGAGGCGCAUAACGGUGGCAGCACUAAAAUGUUUUUUACUUUAUUUUAUUUUGUUUUUACAAGAAUAUAUAUUUGAUCAUACAGAAAGCAUCAUUGAUACAAGCAAAAAAUAAAAUAUUACUUUUUUUUUUAAUUGCUCUUGGGGGCCCCCUACAGGCUGUGGGGCCCUAAGCAGGCACUUAGUUUGCCUUGGGCCAGCUCUGAAAAUGCUUUAAAAAACUACUGAUGUAGCUGCUCUACGGGGUGAAACAUGACAGCAAUCUGUUUGAACACCCUUCAGUAAACAAGAUAAAAAAGGUCCCUGUGGUUAAAGAUGUAAACAAAGGAAGUGUCCCCUGGAUGCCCUCCUAGUACAGAACAUUUUAAAGAGCCCUCUUCUAGAGCUCUAGAUGUCCUUCCAGUUUAUAAUGCAUUAAAAAAUCCCCUCUAAUUGCCUUUCAAGUGAAUCACAUGUUAGAGAAAUUUCCCUCUCAGUAACCGGUAUAUGUUAAAAAAAAGUGCCCUCUAUCACAGACCUGUGUGCACUGGUGCUCCUAUGGUCAACUUACCCCAUACACGGGGUAAGUUGACCAUAGGAGACCACUUUUUUUUGUCAUGCUAUAUUAUCAAGACAGUUCUGUUUACACUCAUUCAGUUGGUUUGCAGGGAUGAAAACCAUCCUGAAAUAUCUGCAGAUACACAAGUUAGAGACAAAACUAGGAUUGACUUGAUGUUGAGAUCCAGAAUAUGAAUAACGGAUCAUCUUACCCCACUCUUCUCUACUUUUAUGAAAAAUAAAAAUAACGCCAAAUAUGUGGAAAUGAACUUUUUAUUUAUCAAUUUACCAGUUCAAAGAUUGCCUCUCUUGAGAUAACUAUAGCGGAUAAAUUAUAAAGGAUUUUCCUCCACUGCAAUAUCCUGCUGCGCCUCUAGAUGGCUCCACUUCACCACAGAGAUACUAAUGUUUUAAACACACGAGUGUUAAAUUCACGGAUUUCUGAAUCGUGGUCUUUGAAAAGUGUCUCAUCUUGUGGGUUUCUCUCAUCACUCAGAUGUCAACCCCAGUUUUAUAAAAAUGUCCACUCCUCAGUUUGUUCUGGUUCUCGGUGUCUGUGUGGAAAAAAGACCAAACUUACCAGGAGUGUGUGAGUUUGUUCAGCCGGGUCUGGACCGAGGGUUCGGCUCAAGGUUCACCAGAACCAGCUGUCUGCAGCAUCUGGACUCCAUCAGGUGAGAGAGGGUGUCGAGAAGAGAAAGAAAUGCUGUUAUGUUUAUGAUGACCCCAUUUCACCGACAGAUGUUAGAGUAAAAAACAGAUUUAACAACAACAACCUGUUCGUUUUAACUCCAAAACUACAUCAGGAGAGAGUCAGCCCAGGUACUGCCACCUACUGGCAGUCAGGAGAGUCAACAAAAACUCUGAAAUGACAAGCUAAUCAAGGUUAUAUUCUUGAUUUAUCAGAGUGAUUUUUAUUAAACUGAUUUACUUAUAUUUUUAAAAUCACUUUAGUUGUGUUUUAAAGUUUUUCUUUCUGAUUAUUAUGGUGUGUGUUUUCAUGUUAUAUUUGGUGGAUGUUAAAGAAAUCUCCAGACAGGUAGAAAUACGGUCACCUGAACCUGAACCACCGAUCAAUCACCUGGUUAAUUAAACUAUGGUGAUCAAUCAUGAUUACAUUAUCCUUUAAGAAGAGACGAGUGGUUACUCAUGUGUCUGUGUGUGUGUGUGUGUGUGUGUGUGUGUGUGUGUGUGUGUGUGUGUGUGUGUGUGUGUGUGUGUGUGUAAAUAUAGCUGCAGACUUGGGUGUGGAUGUGAACUUGUGUGAGAGGAGGAGCUCUGGAGAUGUUCAGAUGUAAACAAAGACUCUUGGUUUGUGUCUCUAAUCUGAAAUCCUCAGAGAUGAAAUGUUGUCACCUCUGAAUCAAACUGUCUUAAAGGCCGUUAAAUAGGAAAAGGAGAAACUGUUUUAUGAACAUCCAGUUAAAGUUUUACUGUUUAACUUUACUUCAGAGAAUGUAAUUUUGAUCACCUUGUGAGAUUUUUUAACCAUCUAACUUUUCACCUUUUCUCCACCGAUUGACACACUGGCUGGAUAAAUAUCCUCUGGGUUUUCUUCCAGUUGAUAAAGCAUGAAAAAGUGCCUCUAGAUACCCAACCUGAAUUUUAAAAAAGGGGUAAAACUUUGUUGAUUUUCUCUCAGUUGUAUAAAAGGUAAAUGACUUCCUCCUGCAUACAAGACGAGAUUAUAAAUUGUUAAAAUUGAUCUGUAGAUUUUUCAUCCAGUUAAUCUAAAACAACUACUAUCUGGAUGCCCUACCUGAAUAUGAUUGUGAACGAUUUUCUUCUAAUUAAUUAAAUGUUUUAAAAAAGGAAAAGCUCUUGAAUGUUUAAAUUUAUAAAAAGGGGAAAAAGGUCCAAAAAACAGUGUAAAAUAUCCAGACAGUAAAAUCUCUGUGGUUCCUCUGGUUGAUAAAAUGUAAAAAUAGGCCCUCUGGAUGCCAAACCUGACCUACAAUGUAACACAGCCGUCAUUUCUUCAUAUAAAUACAAUCAGACCGAGACGCUUAAGCAGAAAAACUACUGCGUCUGCAGUGCAAAAUGAUUAAUAUGGUGAUUAUUACUUCAAGGAAAUGAUAAAGAAAUGAUCAUAAAUGCUCUUCCUUGAGCUGCAUCACCCUGUAGUCCGUAAUGGACUGGCCUGAGGUCUCACUGCAAACAAGCGGCUGCUGGAAGAGAGUAGGUGAGUGAGGUGCGGUCGUUACUAAAGUUGGUUUGACUAGAGAAGCAGUCGGCAACAUUCAUCUCUUGACGGGGUGUCUAACUCUGUGUUACGGUGUGUUUGACCCUAAAUUAAUUUCACUCCGGAAUAUCCCUUUAAGUUCAUGUCAAACCUGCAGCUGAUCAUCACUGUUGUUUUCUUUGUUUCUACUCAGGACUCAUCCAGGUACCUAAACAGACACCUGCAGGACUUCUAUGUGGUUCUGGAUGAGGUCAGAGGGAGGGUUCCUCAGGUAAGACCACUUCACUGAAGUUUGACUUUGCGUGUUUUAUGACACUAAAGUCUUCAUCUGGAACGGACUGAAGCCAGACUGAGAUUUUCCACAGUAGCUCCUGGUGCUGGAUUUUGUGAGGCCACUUAGUACGAGGUCAAAUUCCUCCCCUUAUCCUGCUGACGGUUUCUGUGUCUGCACCACAGGAGCCUCUGAAGGGUUCAGUGAGCAGCUCCAUGAAGACGGCGCUGCGCUCCUACACCGACGUUUGUGACGCCGUGUUUGUGGUGGAGAUCCGCCUCCUCUUUCUUGGAAAGACGGGUGGAGAUCCUCAGUGUCAGCUUCUGUCUUUCCUCGCUGAUUCACUGCAGAUGAAACCGCAGAUUUCAAGCUCUGUAGCCAAGGUACAAACCUCCAGAUUCCAGCGCAGCGCUGCUGUGCAAAGAGUUUUAUUACCAUAAUCUCUUUUGGAUAAGGAGAGCACCGUUACAACACUGUUUUCAACGCAAUAAACCCUUUAUUUAGGUAGGAUUACUGUUUGUUAUAAUGCACACCGCACUGUACAUGCAACAUAGUUUAACACCAUCUAAACCAGAGAGGAAUAUUUGUAUUCAAGUUGUUAUUUUUGUCCCAGACAGUCAUGUUUACUUUUGGAUAUCAUGAGGAGAUGUUAAAGGGAUAUUCCGGUGUAAAAUUAGGGUCGAACACACUGUAACACAGAGUUAGACCCCCCCUCCAGAGAUGAAUGUUGCAGACCGCUUGCUUCUCUAUUUAUACCAACUUUAGAUACGACCGCAGGAUGGCAAUACAGAGAGCCACGCCCCCAACCAAAACGCCACUCUAUAGCCACAAAUAAUGCUCAGAACAGCACCUAACUUCAUCAACAGGACAUAUAGGGUCACAGCCAUAGUACUAGACAUCAAACAUCUUUUUAACUUUGACCCAUUUCUUUAGCAAAGAGACUAAACACAACUCACCUACUCUCUUCCAGCAGACGCUUGUUUGUAGUGGGACCUCAGGCCAGUCCAUUACGGACUACAGCGGGGUGACACAGCUCAAGGAAGAACAUUUAUGAUCCCUUUAAUAUGAAUUUAAAUGUGUUUUAGAAACACCAAAAAACCUCCUCACAGGACCUUUAAGUCAUUCAUGACAGAGGGAGCUUCCUGUUUCUGAUUGUUUGGCCAACUUUAACCUUUUAUUUUGUCUUUUAAUUUUUUUAGCUGCUUCAUCUUUUAACGUUUGUCAGCUUCUGUUAUUUGAGGAUUUGAUCAUGUUUUAAUGUGAUAUCUGUGUUUUAUAAAUGUCAUAUUUUAAUGUACCGCCCUGUUAAAACACGCUUGAGUCUUAUCAAAUGCUUUAUUAAUGAUAUGCAUAUCUCGUCUUGUGGAAACUUGAAUUACUGAUGAAAUCAGUCACAAGUGUUACUCUUUGGGUAUUAAAUCUGCUCAGCCUGCAUUACCACACAGAGCAUUUAAUGAGUGUGACAAUGGUUGUGAAAACUCGGUCACGUUUGGCUGUGAUGUGAUAGAUUACUCAAGAGGAGCAGGUUUCACUGGUUCAAAAAUGAAAGGAAAACCAGUGAAUGGCAUUAAAAAACUCAAAGCUGAAGUUAAGAGGCUGAAAAAACACACGGUUGUGGAGAGAGACACCUAAAACCUGCUGGAAAUCCUAAGUUAUAGCGUUCACAUAACUACUUUAAAUCAUGACAGUUAAACUCUGCAUGAUCCAAGAGAGGCUCCGCCCACAGUCACCACAUAAUUUCAGUCAUUAUUUUCACUCUUAACCCCCGCUGGCUGCCAGAAACUGACCCCAAACACCGCACAGAGGGAAGUUUUCUUGGCUGUAAUCCGUUGAGUGUGCCGUCUGACACGGCGGGCGCCCGGGGUUUGACCCCAAUAAAACCAGAAUUUGAGGAAUUACGCUGCACCUUGUUGCCUCCCAGCACUUUGUUUUUGUUGUCGCUGUUAACGUUGUUAUCAUAUUAAACUUUGGUAAGACUUAAAUCCUGGCUUUGUUGAAGGACCCCUUUCAGACGCUGCCCUCAGAGUUACAGCAGAAGCUGUCUGAGGAGGAAAAAGGAGGUCUGAAGGUUUUCUUCUACACAUAAACUCUUCACAGAUAAGCAGAAGCCAUCUGCACUCACCUCUCUGCGGUUAAAACACAACAAAUCGACCAUUUGUGUGUGUUUGUUGGAGGUAACGCCCCAAAUGGCAAAGCAAUCAGAAAACAUCUAUAAUAUUGAUUUAUUUCAGUUUACCCUGGAGGUGUUUUUGUUUUUAGAAAUAAGACUUUUUUGAACUCCUGGAUGUUGAGAAGUGUGCCUAUUGUUGGUGCAGAGAUUACCACCCUGGUCUGAAGGAAUCCAUUCAUCCCUGACAGCUUUAAUCAGAGCAAAGUGUGGAGGGCUCACCCCGCACUCUCCCCCGGGACUGAGAGCCUUUUGACUUCUAGGACCAGGAGCGUGACCCCUCCAGGCGGCCAUCUGUCGGGGGGAAAGGGAGCUUAAGUAGUUUCCCCUCAGCCACAGGUCAUUUGUAUUGAAGCAGCAGCUGGGCAGGAGAGUGAAUGGGAAUGCUGAUGGUGAAAACAAUGGAUGCAAUGCAAACUGUUGUUGUCUUUGUGUCCUCCCUCCCUGCUGUCUUCAGCAUCAGGUCCACCUUGCAGGUCCAUUUGGAGCAGAAAGACCUUCAACCCCUGCUGGGACCUGGAACAUCAGAGGGCUGAAUCAUUGCUUUUCUUUGUGUUUUUUAGAAAUAGGUUAUUACUGAUGCAAUUUCUGGAUACUGAUUGACUAUUUCUAAGAGAUUCAUCCCAUAUAGAAGCACAAUUUCUCUUUUGAACCCCCGCCCAAACAUGUUUACAUAAUUUUCAUGAUGUUGUGUUUGUCUGAGUAUCAUGGGUCUCUGGGUAGCUUCAGCGUUUCCUUUGACAUCUUUGAAGACAUAUUUGUUUCCCUGAUCCAAAACCUGCAACAGCGAUCGAGGGUAAAGUAGGUUUGGGUGGAUUUGAGAGCUGCAUGUAGGUGAAUAAGGUCAGUAAGAGUGGUCCUGGAAUUUGUGUGCUAUCUUGAAGCUAACACUACGCCGGCAUCCUCCAGAUCAACUUCAUAUCGACUCAGGCGCUACAUGGUCUAACCACAUGACACAUUGAAAAGUCUUCUCGCCGCCGUCUUCCGUGCCUCGAUCGUAAAAACACCAGUGCGUCAUUGAUUUUUAUUUUUUUUAUCUGCACCGUUUCUUUUUUUAUUUGUUGUGGGCUUUGGUUUCUUUUUUUCUUUUUUUUUGGAUCAUUAACUUCCAUUGUGUGAUUUUUAAAUUUAUCUGCAGUGUUUCUUUUUUCAUUUGCUGCGGGCUUCAGUUUCUUUUUCUUUUUUUUCUUUUUUUGGUUUUGCGUGGGUAACUUCUGUUGUGGUUUCUUUUUUUUUUUUUUUCAUUCUUUUUUAUUUGCAGUAGUGGCGGUUCUUGGCCACCAUAGAAAAGAAACUAAGUUAACAGUUUCUAUAAUAAUAAUAAUAAUAAUUAUUAUUUAUUUCUUAGGAAUUUUUUGCUCAUGAAUGCCAAAUGUCAGUUAUUUUGUUGCAUUUCCCCCCUCUCUUUGGACAUUGCACAGUUAAAAAUAAAAGAAAACUACUUUAAUUUGUCAUGUAUUGUACUAUUUUGAUAAAUACUGUUUCUUGGGUGUAUUAAUUCGGGUUAAAAUCACCCGGUGAUAGUGUUACAGGGUUAAAAAGACGUUGUAGAUGUUUGAUAUCAGAAGUUAAAAUGAGAGACGGUCUGUUUUUUGCUUUUCAUGUUUGAUUUAAAUGGUUUAUUUCACUCUAACUAUAAAUACUCAGUUUUCUCCCAGAGUAACUCCUAAUUUUUGACUCUUCGUUAAAAAACUUGAGGAAAAAUAAAAAUCUGCCAUCACGCCUCCC